AGAGUUUGAUCCUGGCUCAGAUUGAACGCUGGCGGCAUGCUUUACACAUGCAAGUCGAACGGGGUUAAGGGGCUUGCUCCUUAAUCUAGUGGCGAACGGGUGAGUAAUGCAUCGGAACGUACCCGGGAGUGGGGGAUAACGCACCGAAAGGUGUGCUAAUACCGCAUAUUCUGUGAGCAGGAAAGCAGGGGACCUUAGGGCCUUGUGCUUCCGGAGCGGCCGAUGUCGGAUUAGCUAGUUGGUGAGGUAAAGGCUCACCAAGGCGACGAUCCGUAGCGGGUCUGAGAGGAUGAUCCGCCACACUGGGACUGAGACACGGCCCAGACUCCUACGGGAGGCAGCAGUGGGGAAUUUUGGACAAUGGGCGCAAGCCUGAUCCAGCCAUGCCGCGUGUCUGAAGAAGGCCUUCGGGUUGUAAAGGACUUUUGUCCGGGAGC
Molecule: ribosomal RNA, 437 nt
Filed under: uncultured beta proteobacterium
Lineage: Bacteria; Pseudomonadati; Pseudomonadota; Betaproteobacteria
Description: bacterial SSU rRNA
Rfam family: Bacterial small subunit ribosomal RNA
Source: RNAcentral